ACAUGGCACCAAGAUGUACAAUUAUUUGGUGUCGUACCUGCCCGGUGGUUAGUUCUUAACGGCUGCGGUACCCUGACCGUGCAAAGGUAGCAUAAUCAUUUGCCUCUUAAUUGGUGGCUAGUAUGAAUGGUUUGACAAUGCUCUUUCUGUCUCUUUUUGUUUUAAUUUAAUUUGACCUUUAGGUGAAGAGGCCUAAAAAUAAUAGAAGGACGAGAAGACCCUAUGGAGCUGAAAAUAAAAUAAAUGUUUAUAUUUGUUUUUUUGUUGAUUGGGGCGAUCGGGGAGAAACAAAAACCUCCCAUUUAUAUUAAUCAAUACAAGAACCAAAAAUUUUUUUGAAGUAGGGACAGCUACCCUAGGGAUAACAGCACAAUUUUUUUUGAGAGACCUUAUUAAAAAAAAAGAUUAUGACCUCGAUGUUGGACUAAAGACACUGGGGGGUGUAGCAGCUCCUCAAAGACAGCCUGUUCGGCUAUUAAAUCUUUAC
Molecule: ribosomal RNA, 487 nt
Filed under: Fluviocingula superficialis
Lineage: Eukaryota; Metazoa; Mollusca; Gastropoda; Littorinimorpha; Iravadiidae
Description: partial 16S ribosomal RNA
Rfam family: Bacterial large subunit ribosomal RNA
Source: RNAcentral